Molecule: small RNA, 157 nt
Filed under: uncultured Blautia sp.
Lineage: Bacteria; Bacillati; Bacillota; Clostridia; Lachnospirales; Lachnospiraceae
Description: Clostridiales-1 RNA
Rfam family: Clostridiales-1 RNA
Source: RNAcentral
UACCAGGGUCAAAAGACCGGAUAUUCACCUGUGCUUGCACAAAGGUGAAUAUCCGGUCUUGGGACCCGCCAAAAUAUGAGGAAGAAGCGGGGCAGGGGUCCUGCGAAUUCCGAAUAUUUUGCAGAAUUGCGAGAGCACGGAGUGCGGAGCAAUUUGG